This 520-nucleotide ribosomal RNA is filed under the name uncultured Diversispora. RNAcentral describes it as "SSU rRNA". It matches the Rfam family "Eukaryotic small subunit ribosomal RNA", at positions 569 to 1087 of the family's 1831-position model. The record is from RNAcentral. Lineage: Eukaryota; Fungi; Glomeromycota; Glomeromycetes; Diversisporales; Diversisporaceae.
AGCAGCCGCGGUAAUUCCAGCUCCAAUAGCGUAUAUUAAAGUUGUUGCAGUUAAAAAGCUCGUAGUUGAACUUCGGGAUUUGCCCAUUGGUCAGGCUUAACUGUCUGCACUGGUGUGACGAGUUCCUACCUUCUGAGGAAUCUCCAUGUCAUUCAGUUGGUGUGGGGGGAAAUCAGGACUGUUACUUUGAGAAAAUUAGAGUGUUUAAAGCAGGCAUCCGUCUGAAUACAUUAGCAUGGAAUAAUAAAAUAGGACGGUUUGGUUCUAUUUUGUUGGUUUCUAGGAUCACCGUAAUGAUUAAUAGGGAUAGUUGGGGGCAUUAGUAUUCAAUUGUCAGAGGUGAAAUUCUUGGAUUUAUUGAAGACUAACUACUGCGAAAGCAUUUGCCAAGGAUGUUUUCAUUAAUCAAGAACGAAAGUUAGGGGAUCGAAGACGAUCAGAUACCGUCGUAGUCUUAACCAUAAACUAUGCCGACUAGGGAUCGGACGAAGUUAAUUUUUUAANGUACUCGUUCGGCACC